CAAAACAGGUUGUGAGGUGCUGCCUGGAGCAUGCCGCAUCGGUGGCGAAAACAUUCAUCACCUCGGACGCCGUCGUGGUCGACAUCAAGGAAUCUGAGAAGGCGCCUGCCGCAAACCCAAUGGCCGGUUCAGGUUAUGGGUUCUAAACCCUUGGGCAGCAUGCUGCGUUGUCGGAGGUUAUACUUUGAGCAAAGAAGCGUGGGUGCUAUUGUGUCGCGGGUCGAAGCCGGAAACUAAAUUUUUGUUGCUAUUGUCGCGAACCAAAAGUCGGAACGUGAGUCUUCUUUAAAAUUUUAUUACACUAGCAAUCUAGUCCUGAAAGAAAGUGUACACUAUUUUUUUUUGCGAGAAAGUGAACACUGUAUCGUGCUUACAUCAUCUUACUA
Molecule: long non-coding RNA, 386 nt
Organism: Triticum aestivum (bread wheat)
Lineage: Eukaryota; Viridiplantae; Streptophyta; Magnoliopsida; Poales; Poaceae
Exons: 2
Source: RefSeq, a predicted model, not a curated record